RNAcentral lists this ribosomal RNA (609 nucleotides) under uncultured bacterium. RNAcentral describes it as "bacterial SSU rRNA". It matches the Rfam family "Bacterial small subunit ribosomal RNA", at positions 338 to 961 of the family's 1533-position model. The record is from RNAcentral.
CCUACGGGAGGCAGCAGUGGGGAAUUUUCCGCAAUGGGCGAAAGCCUGACGGAGCAAUACCGCGUGAGGGAGGAAGGCUCUUGGGUUGUAAACCUCUUUUCUCAGGGAAGAUAAUGACGGUACCUGAGGAAUAAGCAUCGGCUAACUCCGUGCCAGCAGCCGCGGUAAUACGGAGGAUGCAAGCGUUAUCCGGAAUGAUUGGGCGUAAAGCGUCCGCAGGUGGUUUUGAAAGUCUGCUGUUAAAGCGUGCGGCUUAACCGCAUAAGGGCAGUGGAAACUAUGAGACUAGAGUGCGUUAGGGGCAGAGGGAAUUCCCAGUGUAGCGGUGAAAUGCGUAGAGAUUGGGAAGAACACCGGUGGCGAAGGCGCUCUGCUAUACCGUAACUGACACUGAGGGACGAAAGCUAGGGGAGCGAAUGGGAUUAGAUACCCCAGUAGUCCUAGCCGUAAACGAUGGAUACUAGGCGUUGUCUGUAUCGACCCGGACAGUGCCGUAGCUAACGCGUUAAGUAUCCCGCCUGGGGAGUACGCNGCGACUGUGAAACGUUAAAGGUAAAGUUAGACGGCGUGUAGACGUUGCCGAACGGACGACGACGAGGGGAGGUUAGG